This 253-nucleotide ribosomal RNA is filed under the name uncultured bacterium. RNAcentral describes it as "partial 16S ribosomal RNA". It matches the Rfam family "Bacterial small subunit ribosomal RNA", at positions 524 to 776 of the family's 1533-position model. The record is from RNAcentral.
UACGUAGGUGGCAAGCGUUGUCCGGAUUUACUGGGCGUAAAGAGCGCGCAGGCGGUCGUUCAAGUCGCGUGUGAAAGCCCCCGGCUCAACUGGGGAGGGUCACGCGAUACUGAUCGACUCGAAGGCAGGAGAGGGUAGUGGAAUUCCCGGUGUAGUGGUGAAAUGCGUAGAUAUCUGGAGGAACACCGGUGGCGAAGGCGGCAUCCUGGACCAACACUGACGUUGAGGAGCGAAAGCCAGGGGAGCAAACGGG